GUGUCUCUGUAUCCUGCUGGACUAUAUGCCCUUUAAAGCAAGUAGAGCACAUUACUCAUCACUCAAUCUCCAGGACCAAGUUAAUGUUCUGUAUAUAGUAAUGUCGACAGCAACAUCUCCCCCAGGUGUAACAACUAAACGUGUCUCCAGACAUUGGCAAAUAUCCUUGGGCCAUGGAGAAAACAUCACCUUCAAUUGAAAACCACUGGGCCACUCUAAUGCCUUCAAGAGAGAAGCAGCACCUUUCAUUGGAGGUAGCUGUAUCACAAGACAGCAGCAACAGCCUUAAGUCCUACAGCACACAGCACUGAAUAAAUGCUUUUGGACAGUUGUCUAUCUUCUGCCUCAGAGAAAAGAUGGAGUCCCGUUAAGAACAUAUGUACCUUGUACCUGACAUAGAAACUUCCUGUCCUAGAUGCUGUAGUAUAUUGUGGGUAUAUACUUGGGGAUUGAGAGAACAGAAAAAAGGCCGAGGCAUCAUCCUCUUCUAUGACUCUGAGGAUCAAAGGCAUUUUCUUGUAUUUCUUGAACAAAGAUUUGUGGAGGACCUACUCUGUGCAGACAUUAUUAGACAAUAAAGAGGAGAGAUCAUGGCGGUGGCAGACGGAGGCAGGGCUAGAUUGAAGCUCCGGACAGAGCAGCAGGCAGCUCGCAUUGUGAAUUUUAACUCCAUAUCAACAGCAAGAAAAAACCAGCAAUCCUGAGAGGACCCACAGACCCUCUGAAGGAAGCAGACUGCUCCUGCAGGACACAGGAGACACCCCCGCAAAACUGAAGCCAAGAGUCUCAGGCCCUUCGCCCUUGCUUCUCAGAAAAGAACAGCUAACCAUUGCCAACCAGAAUGCAUAGAAACUGAACUACUUCUGUGUCUGCAAUUGUCAUCUUGGACAAAUUACCUAAACUGCUUGGGCUGAGAUAUGUGAAUUCAGAUAUUGAAGCUUAUUUAUACCUUCAUAAUUCUAUGCUUCCAUAAUGAUUAAAUCCACCAUAGUAAUAAAUAAAGGCCUUAAC
RNAcentral lists this long non-coding RNA (1011 nucleotides) under Homo sapiens (human). Its description in RNAcentral is "HSALNT0336469". The record is from RNAcentral. Lineage: Eukaryota; Metazoa; Chordata; Mammalia; Primates; Hominidae.